GGUUGCGUAGUGUAGAGGUUAUCACUGUGGAUUCUGAUUCCACUAACCUCGGUUCGAAUCCGAGCGCGACCA
Molecule: transfer RNA, 72 nt
Filed under: Eremothecium cymbalariae DBVPG#7215
Lineage: Eukaryota; Fungi; Ascomycota; Saccharomycetes; Saccharomycetales; Saccharomycetaceae
Description: tRNA-Gln (CTG) (tRNA-Gln-CTG-2-1)
Rfam family: tRNA
About the family: Transfer RNA (tRNA) molecules are approximately 80 nucleotides in length. Their secondary structure includes four short double-helical elements and three loops (D, anti-codon, and T loops). Further hydrogen bonds mediate the characteristic L-shaped molecular structure. tRNAs have two regions of fundamental functional importance: the anti-codon, which is responsible for specific mRNA codon recognition, and the 3' end, to which the tRNAs corresponding amino acid is attached (by aminoacyl-tRNA synthetases). tRNAs cope with the degeneracy of the genetic code in two manners: having more than one tRNA (with a specific anti-codon) for a particular amino acid; and 'wobble' base-pairing, i.e. permitting non-standard base-pairing at the 3rd anti-codon position.
Source: RNAcentral